GCCGUCGUGCUGGAAUUGGUAGACAGGCUGGUUUGAGGGAUCAGUGAACGUAGUUCGUGAGAGUUCGAGUCUCUCCGACGGCACCA
RNAcentral lists this transfer RNA (86 nucleotides) under Candidatus Pelagibacteraceae bacterium. Its description in RNAcentral is "tRNA-Leu". It matches the Rfam family "tRNA". From Rfam's summary of the family: Transfer RNA (tRNA) molecules are approximately 80 nucleotides in length. Their secondary structure includes four short double-helical elements and three loops (D, anti-codon, and T loops). Lineage: Bacteria; Pseudomonadati; Pseudomonadota; Alphaproteobacteria; Candidatus Pelagibacterales; Candidatus Pelagibacteraceae. The record is from RNAcentral.